This 1019-nucleotide long non-coding RNA is filed under the name Marmota monax (woodchuck). The record is from RNAcentral. Lineage: Eukaryota; Metazoa; Chordata; Mammalia; Rodentia; Sciuridae.
AAUCUACAGAUUUGAUAAACUGAGCCAAUCCCAAACAAGAUGAAGAAAUAAAAAAAAUUCAGGUCAAGGCAUAUCAUCAGCAAAAUUCUGAAAAGUAAAGAUAAAGAAUAAAUUCUCAGAAGCAGCAAGAGAGAAAUCACAUUUUAGUUGCUGGUGAAAAACAAACUGAAUGAUGCCUGGAAUUCUCACGGAAUUGCCACGGAGUUCCAAAUAGCCAAAACAUCCGAGAAGAAAGAAGAAGAAAGUUCAAAUACUCUGCUUACAGCCUUAAAACGUAACACAAAACUACAGUAAUUAGAGCAGCAUUGCAAGAAGUCAUCUGGAAACACACAAGGACCUUCUGUGGCUUGGAAGCCAGGGAGAGAACAGCCAUGGGAACUUCAAUGGCUCUCCCAGGGGACAGACCGCCCAAUGCACAUGACCUUCCCCUCUGCUCUGCUAGAAGGGUCCCUCACAGUAACACCGGAGAACCCCAUUCCCACCACCGGCGUGCCAUGUGGGUGGCACAGUAUGGUCCUGGCAUGAGAACAGGCAGACAAACCAUGGAAUAGGAUAGAGAGCUAGAAACAAACUCGCUCCAUAUGAUCAAUGGACUGCGACAAGGAGUCCAAGACCAUUCAAUGAGAAAUGGCGUCUUGGCCACCAAAGGUGGGACUAAAAAAGGAUUUGCUUACCAAUGUUCCCAUCGGCAUUAUCCACAGCAUACCAAGGGUGGAAUCAGCCCAGGUGUCCAUCAGGAGAUGGAUAGGCAGAGAACCUAUAGCAUCACAAUGGAAUACUACUCAGCUAUGGAAAGGAAUGAAAUUUUUACAAAUGCUACAAUGUGAAAGGAACUUGACAGCAUUUUGCUCAGUGAAAUGAGGCAGACAAACACAGAAGGACAGAAGUUGUAUAGCUCCAUGCCUAAGAGGUGCCUAGGACAGGCAAUUUAAUGAAGACAGUAGACUAGACGGGAGCUUACUAGAGGAUAAGGGCAGAGGGAAAGUGGGUUAUCGGUUAUGAGUGCAGGGUUCAUGUGG